RNAcentral lists this ribosomal RNA (882 nucleotides) under uncultured bacterium. RNAcentral describes it as "bacterial SSU rRNA". It matches the Rfam family "Bacterial small subunit ribosomal RNA", at positions 28 to 896 of the family's 1533-position model. The record is from RNAcentral.
AUUGAACGCUGGCGGUAUGCUUAACACAUGCAAGUCGAACGGCAGCAUGACCUAGCUUGCUAGGUUGAUGGCGAUUGGCGGACGGGUGAGUAACGCGUAGGAAUCUACCUAUCGGCGGGGGAUAGCCCGGUGAAAACCGGAUUAAUACCGCAUACGCCCUACGGGGGAAACGAGGCCUCUUCUUGAAAGCUUCGACCGAUAGAUGAGCCUGCGUUAGAUUAGCUAGUUGGUGGGGUAAAGGCCUACCAAGGCGACGAUCUAUAGCUGUUCUGAGAGGAUGAUCAGCCACACUGGGACUGAGACACGGCCCAGACUCCUACGGGAGGCAGCAGUGGGGAAUAUUGGACAAUGGGCGCAAGCCUGAUCCAGCAAUACCGCGUGUGUGAAGAAGGGUUUCGGCUCGUAAAGCACUUUCAGUGGGGAGGAAAGGUUAGUAGUUAAUACCUGCUAGCUGUGACGUUACCUACAGAAGAAGCACCGGCUAACUCCGUGCCAGCAGCCGCGGUAAUACGGAGGGUGCAAGCGUUAAUCGGAAUUACUGGGCGUAAAGCGCGCGUAGGCGGAUGAUUAAGUUUCAUGUGAAAGCCCUGGGCUCAACCUGGGAACUGCAUGGAAUACUGGUUAUCUAGAAUACAGGAGAGGGUAGUGGAAUUUCAGGUGUAGCGGUGAAAUGCGUAGAGAUCUGAAGGAACAUCAGUGGCGAAGGCGACUACCUGGACUGAUAUUGACGCUGAGGUGCGAAAGCGUGGGGAGCAAACGGGAUUAGAUACCCUGGUAGUCCACGCUGUAAACGAUGUCAACUAGUUGUUGGGCUUAUAAAUAAGCUUAGUGACGCAGCUAACGCGAUAAGUUGACCGCCUGGGGAGUACGGUCGCAAGACUA